This 492-nucleotide ribosomal RNA is filed under the name uncultured bacterium. Its description in RNAcentral is "partial 16S ribosomal RNA". It matches the Rfam family "Bacterial small subunit ribosomal RNA", at positions 28 to 507 of the family's 1533-position model. The record is from RNAcentral.
GAUGAACGCUGGCGGCGGGCCUAACACAUGCAAGUCGAACGGACAGACAGUGAGCUUGUGCCUUUGCCGGUGGCGGCGGGCGGGCGGGUGACGAGUGCAUCACAAACUUAUUUUUCGGGGGGGAUAACGGAAAGCAGGUUACAAUACUACCGAAUAUGUUGUACGGCUGGGAGCAGUGGAUAUUGGCGGCUUGCGUGUCUGUAUGAGCCGAUGCCGGAUUAGCUAGUUGGGUGGGUAACGGCCCACCAAGCCAACGAUGCGUAGCUGACCUGAGAGGAUGAUCGGCCACACUGGAACUGAGACACGGUCCAGACUCCUACGGGAGGCAGCAGUAGGGAAUAUUGGGCAAUGGGCGCAAGCCUGACGCAGCCAUACCGCGUGGGUGAAGAAGGCCUUCGGAUCGUAAAGCCCUUUUGUUGGGGAAGAACAGCUGUGGAUUAAUACCCCGCCGUUUUGACGGUACCCAAUCAAUAAGCACCGGCUAACUACGUG